Dermochelys coriacea (leatherback sea turtle) is the source of this 2138-nucleotide long non-coding RNA. RefSeq lists it as uncharacterized. Lineage: Eukaryota; Metazoa; Chordata; Testudines; Dermochelyidae. The transcript is spliced from 2 exons. The record is from RefSeq and is a predicted model, not a curated record.
GGCCUCCUGUUGGUGGUUUUACUCUUUUCCCUGCAUGAUUUCCAGUUGAGCCAGUUUCUGCUGUGCACUGGAAGCGAUUGCUUUAGAGGCAGAGUGUGUGUGGUUGGGAGUGGAGGGUGCAUAGGCUUGGCAUAGGAAGGCUGUGCCCUGGAGCCAGGUUGGAGCCUUUCUGUUUACAGUAGGCAGCAGCAGGAGUCUCCAAAGGACCUGCAAGACAAAGGUAAGCUGCUUAGAGAGAAAUCUGGGAAGAGGAAAGCAGCUGCCCUUUGAUCAUGGACCUACCCACUGGUAUUCUUCAUCCACCCUGGAUUUCCCCUGCAUGCAUCUCUGUAAUUCUGUUAAUCGUUCCUGAUGCCUCUUUGACCCAGAUUCAUUGCACAAUCCAAGUAGCAGUCAGUGCCGUGGUUGUACAGUACCCACCGCAAGCGGCGGCGUCUUAUUAGUACGCUCGCAAGUGGAAACUUCAUUAGCGGGGUUGCGUCCUGAGUAAUUAACUUCCCAGGCAGCGCUUUGGAGCUGCAGUCUAGUCACGUGCUUCGCCAGCGAGCGAGGCUUGGUCAGGGCACUGCUACAGCCCAGCUGAGUCCCUGCCAGUGCUCGUAGUCACACCACCAAGUUCACCUUCCCCACUGAGGCUCAGCCUGUGAUUCCUGCGGCCGUACGCCGUCAGUGGUUCUCUCUCAGCGCCAGAGGCUGCACCCUGAUCCUUUUUGCAGUCUGGGGGACACCUUCCGUGGGGACCACGCUGAGAUGUCGUGCUCCCGGGUUGCAAUAGCAAAGCACCAGCUCACCAGGCUGGGCAUGAGGAGGAGAGGAGCAGGGAGAUGCAGCGAGCCCGCGAGAGAGCCCGCAGAACCUCCCCCAUCGCAAAAGAGGCGACGAGACACUGACACGUGCCUGACCCAUGAAUCCAGGCGGCGGGAGUCCCCUUCUGAAUGAGGCAGUUCGUACGGUCACUGCCCAGAGCCCUUGACUGGGGCAAUCACAAUAGCAAAGCGCUGGCUCAUCGUGCAGCAUUGCAGCCCGGGCAUGGGGAGGAGCAGCCGCAGGCCCCGGAAGCUGCUUGUGCUUGCGGGGCUGAGGGCUCCCGGGCCCCCUCCCUGACUGACUCUCCAGCGCCGGCGCCAAAGGGGACUGCACCAGCUGCGCUAGCUAUAAUUAGAGCGAGCAAGCUAGGAAGGUGAUAAUCCCCCUCCCACCCGCAGCCAGCAGCCCCUCGGUGCCUCCCUCGGCCGCACCAAGAAAGGAAUUCGUGUGUGUUGACUUCAGCUCUUUAUCUGGAUGGGUCACCUCGUGGUGAACCAAAUAUAGUAAACGACGGCGGCUGCUAGCGAUGCCGCUUCUUCCAAGGGGGAGAAUCCAGCAUUGCACAACCCAGGAAAGAUCAAACGCGCGGCACUCGCGCAACUGCCCUGAACCUAGUGCAGAUCGCCAGGCAAAUCUCCCAGGGUAGGGGUGGGGUGGGGAGAGUGGCACAGGUCAACCCCGUUCAGAGCCCAUGUGUUUGGAGGAAAUUUUGCUCCUGUUUGGAUUGAUUUUAAGGCUGUUUUAAAAGUCAUCUCUGCAAAGCACGGGGUGGUCUAAUGACCUGGACACAGAACUGGGAGCCAGGAAUUCCUGGCUUCUAAUCCUGGCUCUGCCGCUGACUUGCGCUAUGGUCUUCAGUAGGUCAUUCACCUCAUGGUGGGGUUGUGAGUAAGAUGAUAUACUCGUUUGUAUUUUAAGGGAUGUCCUUUAUUUUUUGCUUCAUGGCUGUAUUGUGACCUGCAAUUUAAGAAUUUCUAAGGACCAGCAAAAUAGUAUGUUUUCAAGUAGUAUUCAUACAAGGGAUUAUAUGCUGUGAUACAAAUUUAUUUAUUUAUUGUUUUGCAUAACCAAUAUAUUAUUGUGAAGUGGAUUCCUUAUAAAGGUGCUGCCCCAUAUUGAUUAUUCAGUUCUCUAUUUCCUUGAAAUGUAGGUAGUCAACUCAGUUGGGAGGAUUACUUUGGACUUGUCUAUACAGGGAGUUGUUCUUGAGUUAGGGGACAAUCAGGAACAGUAAAUCAGGAACAACUCUAAGUGUAGACAGGCCCUUUUCAUUGCUUGUCAACACUUAUAUAACGAGUGCUGUAAGUACAAUAAAUUAUUUUAUGACUACA